UACGGGGGGAGCAAGCGUUGUUCGGAUUUACUGGGCGUAAAGGGCGCGUAGGCGGUAGCACAAGUCAGUUGUGAAAUCUCCGGGCUUAACUCGGAAAGGUCAGCCGAUACUGCGGGGCUAGAGUGCAGAAGGGGCAACUGGAAUUCUCGGUGUAGCGGUGAAAUGCGUAGAUAUCGAGAGGAACACCUGCGGCGAAGGCGGGUUGCUGGGCUGACACUGACGCUGAUGCGCGAAAGCUAGGGGAGCGAACGGG
Molecule: ribosomal RNA, 253 nt
Filed under: uncultured bacterium
Lineage: Bacteria
Description: partial 16S ribosomal RNA
Rfam family: Bacterial small subunit ribosomal RNA
Source: RNAcentral